AGAGUUUGAUCAUGGCUCAGAACGUACGCUGGCGGCACGCCUAACACAUGCAAGUCGAACGAAGUAGCAAUACUUAGUGGCAGACGGGUGAGUAACAUGUGGGUAUCUGCCCUUUGGCCUGGAAUAACACGAGGAAACUUGUGCUAAUACCGGAUAAGUCUUUACGGAGAAAGCUUUAUGCACCAUUGGAUGAGCCCGCACUUGAUUAGUUUGUUGGUGGGGUAAUGGCCUACCAAGACUGUGAUCAAUAGCUGAUUUGAGAGGAUGAUCAGCCACAUUGGGACUGAGACACGGCCCAAACUCCUACGGGAGGCAGCAGUGGGGAAUCUUGCACAAUGGAGGAAACUCUGAUGCAGCGAUGCCGCGUGAGUGAAGAAGGCCCUUGGGUUGUAAAGCUCUUUCGUCGGGGAAGAAAAUGACUGUACCCGAAUAAGAAGGUCCGGCUAACUUCGUGCCAGCAGCCGCGGUAAUACGAAGGGACCUAGCGUAGUUCGGAAUUACUGGGCUUAAAGAGUUCGUAGGUGGUUGAAAAAGUUAGUGGUGAAAUCCCAGAGCUUAACUCUGGAACUGCCAUUAAAACUUUUCAGCUAGAGUAUGAUAGAGGAAAGCAGAAUUUCUAGUGUAGAGGUGAAAUUCGUAGAUAUUAGAAAGAAUACCAAUUGCGAAGGCAGCUUUCUGGAUCAUUACUGACACUGAGGAACGAAAGCAUGGGUAGCGAAGAGGAUUAGAUACCCUCGUAGUCCAUGCCGUAAACGAUGUGUGUUAGACGUUGGAAAUUUAUUUUCAGUGUCGCAGCGAAAGCGAUAAACACACCGCCUGGGGAGUACGACCGCAAGGUUAAAACUCAAAUGAAUUGACGGGGACCCGCACAAGUAGUGGAGCAUGUGGUUUAAUUCGAAGAUACGCGCAGAACCUUACCAACACUUGACAUGUUCGUCGCGACUCUAAGAGAUUAGAGUUUUCGGUUCGGCCGGACGAAACACAGGUGCUGCAUGGCU
Molecule: ribosomal RNA, 998 nt
Filed under: marine metagenome
Description: bacterial SSU rRNA
Rfam family: Bacterial small subunit ribosomal RNA
Source: RNAcentral